RNAcentral lists this transfer RNA (88 nucleotides) under Candidatus Falkowbacteria bacterium CG10_big_fil_rev_8_21_14_0_10_39_11. RNAcentral describes it as "tRNA-Ser". It matches the Rfam family "tRNA". From Rfam's summary of the family: Transfer RNA (tRNA) molecules are approximately 80 nucleotides in length. Their secondary structure includes four short double-helical elements and three loops (D, anti-codon, and T loops). The record is from RNAcentral. Lineage: Bacteria; Candidatus Falkowiibacteriota.
GGUGAGGUGGCCGAGUGGUUUAAGGCGCACGCUUGGAAAGCGUGUAGAGCGCAAGUUCUCGCAGGUUCGAAUCCUGUCCUCACCGCCA